RNAcentral lists this ribosomal RNA (564 nucleotides) under uncultured Glomeromycotina. RNAcentral describes it as "SSU rRNA". It matches the Rfam family "Eukaryotic small subunit ribosomal RNA", at positions 548 to 1114 of the family's 1831-position model. The record is from RNAcentral. Lineage: Eukaryota; Fungi; Glomeromycota.
UUGGAGGGCAAGUCUGGUGCCAGCAGCCGCGGUAAUUCCAGCUCCAAUAGCGCAUAUUAAAGUUGUUGCAGUUAAAAAGCUCGUAGUUGAAUUUCGGGAUCAAAUUGUCGGUCGUGCCUCGGUACGCACUGGUAUUAUUGGUUCCUACCUUCUGAAGAACCGCGAUGUCAUUAAUUUGGUGUCGUGGGGAAUCAGGACUGUUACUUUGAAAAAAUUAGAGUGUUUAAAGCAGGCUUACGCUUGAAUACAUUAGCAUGGAAUAAUGAAAUAGGACGUUUGAUUCUAUUUUGUUGGUUUCUAGGAUUGACGUAAUGAUUAAUAGGGAUAGUUGGGGGCAUUAGUAUUCAAUUGUCAGAGGUGAAAUUCUUGGAUUUAUUGAAGACUAACUACUGCGAAAGCAUUUGCCAAGGAUGUUUUCAUUAAUCAAGAACGAAAGUUAGGGGAUCGAAGACGAUCAGAUACCGUCGUAGUCUUAACCAUAAACUAUGCCGACUAGGAAUCAGACGAUGUUAAUUUUUUAAUGACUCGUUUGGCACCUUACGGGAAACCAAAGUGUUUGGGUUC